GACGAACGCUGGCGGCGUGCUUAACACAUGCAAGUCGAACGGAAAGGCCCUGCUUUUGUGGGGUGCUCGAGUGGCGAACGGGUGAGUAACACGUGAGUAACCUGCCCUUGACUUUGGGAUAACUUCAGGAAACUGGGGCUAAUACCGGAUAGGAGCUCCUGCUGCAUGGUGGGGGUUGGAAAGUUUCGGCGGUUGGGGAUGGACUCGCGGCUUAUCAGCUUGUUGGUGGGGUAGUGGCUUACCAAGGCUUUGACGGGUAGCCGGCCUGAGAGGGUGACCGGCCACAUGGGGAAUGAGAAACGGCCAAGACUCCGACGGGAGGAAGAGGGGGGGAAUGUGGAAAAAGGGGGGGAAGCCGGAUGCAGAAACGCCGGGGGAGGGAGGACGGCCUUCGGGUGGUAAACCGCUUUCGCCGGUGAGGAAGGGGGAGGGAGGGAAAGGGGUAAAGAAGAACGGAAAAAAAAGGGG
Molecule: ribosomal RNA, 468 nt
Filed under: uncultured bacterium
Lineage: Bacteria
Description: partial 16S ribosomal RNA
Rfam family: Bacterial small subunit ribosomal RNA
Source: RNAcentral